AUUUUUUUUUUUUGAAAUAGCCUGACAUACGUGACAUAUAGACUCACCACAAAUAUAAGUUUCUCUACCCACACGAACAACGUCUUCUUUGUGUCUGUACAACAUACCGAUCAAGAAUAUCAAUAGGAUUACAAUUCACAACCUACGUCCAUCAAAUCUAUAGACAAUCGAUGCGAUGCAUUUUCAUACAGCUAACUAUUCUUAGAAAUAAUUCAUGCUCCUAAGCACUCAGGCGCCGGAAGAUGCGAUACAUAAUACAACAAUUAUCCUAUUUAAAAGUGCUCUCCACCCAGAAGCUUUAUUUAUAAAUGCUAAUUAUUCAUCAAUCAAAAAAAAAUCAUUCAAAAAGUCUUUUGAAAACUGUUUCUC
RNAcentral lists this long non-coding RNA (369 nucleotides) under Ananas comosus (pineapple). RNAcentral describes it as "long non-coding RNA (ACOM_LNC025853)". The record is from RNAcentral. Lineage: Eukaryota; Viridiplantae; Streptophyta; Magnoliopsida; Poales; Bromeliaceae.